This 212-nucleotide long non-coding RNA is filed under the name Carica papaya (papaya). RNAcentral's name for it is "long non-coding RNA (CPAP_LNC014002)". The record is from RNAcentral. Lineage: Eukaryota; Viridiplantae; Streptophyta; Magnoliopsida; Brassicales; Caricaceae.
CCCGAUGCCGUGACUCACAUUUGUGAAUAAAUCAGCGGACAAUUGUUCUAGUCGCGCGUAAUGUCGAACGAUCUAUCUAAAAAAAAAUGGGUGCAACACGAGGACUUCCUAGGAGGUCAACACUACUUUUCGUUUUUUGCUAUUCUACUUUGUAAUAUGCUCGCAUACACUCUUAUCACGUGAUGAACUUUAAUUGAAUGCACGAAAAAUAU